Alexandromys fortis (reed vole) is the source of this 546-nucleotide long non-coding RNA. RefSeq lists it as uncharacterized. The transcript has 3 exons. The record is from RefSeq and is a predicted model, not a curated record. NCBI's taxonomy places the organism in Eukaryota, Metazoa, Chordata, Mammalia, Rodentia, Cricetidae.
GAUCCCCUGGAACUGGAGUUCUGGACACUUGGGAGCUGGGAAUCCCACUUGGAUCCUUGGAGACAGCAGCAGAAAUUUUGUACACAGGGUCCUCUGUGUCUGGCCUGAGCCUAUGGGAACUAAGACAGCCACCAGGAUCUGCGCUCUCAAGCCACAGUGGAGCUCUCAAGACAGUUUGCUGCCCUCUCUGCAGCCCUCGGGGUUCUUUGUGUGUGUUGGAUGACAUCAAGGGAGAGAGGACCUGGGGAAAGGAUCCUGGUUUGGUUCCCAGCACUCACGUGGUCUCUCAUAACCGUGUUCCAGGGAUCCAUGCUGUCUUCUGGCCUCUACCACUACCAGGCAUGUGCACGGUGCGCAGACAUACAGCAGAACACCCAGACACAUAAAAAUAAUAAUUCUUUUUUUUAAAGUACAUUUCCUGCCACACACCUUUAAUCCCAGAACUCAGGAAGCAAAGGCAGGUAAAUCUUUAUGAGUUUGGGGAUAACCUGGUCUAUACAGAGGACCCAAAUUCCAUUCUUAGCACCCACAUCUGGUGGCUCACAA